This is an RNA transcript of Homo sapiens (human), 3341 nucleotides long. It is a transcript of the gene named CENPB DNA-binding domains containing 2, pseudogene, with no coding region annotated. NCBI's taxonomy places the organism in Eukaryota, Metazoa, Chordata, Mammalia, Primates, Hominidae. The record is from RefSeq and is marked validated. The transcript has 2 exons.
GUCGCAAGGGGCGGGCCUGACGCAGCCUCCUCCCUGCCCGGCCGUCGCCAGGCAACCUUCCCCCUUCGCGGCCGAGAUGGACCCUGGGCUCGGCGUCCUCCGGAAAACUGCACUGUGAGGCGGGGCGAUGGGGAAGGGCCGAAGCCCCGCCAGCCCAGCUAAAGCAGACGGCUCGCACUGCGACCCGAAGCGCGAGUCAUGGCUGGGGCCUUAGUGGCAACAAGUGCUGAGAUCAGCGGGCUCAGUAGCAGGAACACAAGCACCCCCUUGCGGUGUCUGGAGGAAGCGGCGCGGACAGUCUCCCGCUCCACCGUGUCGGGCCUGAAGAGGCCGCUGAACGCUCGCGAUUACUGAGGCAUCUGGUAGGAUCGCAAGGCCAUCAACCUACAGGUGAAGCUCGAGGCGCUGUGGCGCUUUGAAGCCGGAGAGAAGCUCAGUAGAAUCGGGAAGGCGCUGGGGCUGUCCAACUCCACCUUGGCCACCAUUCGUGACAACAAGGAAAAGAUCUGGGCGAGUUCCCAGGAGGCCACACUGCAGGCGGCCACCAAGUUGACGCGUGGCCGCAGCCUGGUGAUGGAGAACAUGGAGCAGCUGCUGAGCAUGCGGAUGGAGGACCAGAGCCAGCGCAACAUGCCCCUCAGUGUGGUGCUCAUUCGGGAGAAAGCCCACAGCCCGUUCGAGAACCGCAAGCAGGAGCAGGGCGAGGGCGCCUAGCCCGAGAGCUUCGGGGCCGGUCGAGGGUGAUUCGCUGGCUUUAAGGCGCGCCACAGCUUGAGCAGCAUCGGGGCCAGCGGCCCAAGAACGCAGCGUGCAAGAAUCCAGCGUUAAUGCGCAGGGUGAUCCCGGAGGGCGGCUACACACUCUGGCUGGUGUUCACCAUGAAUAAGCUCUGGCUGGUGUUCACCAUGAAUAAGCCCAGGUUCCUCUGUAAGCGCCUGCCGAGAGGACGUUCAUUUUCCUGUGGAAGAUGAGUCGGCCCCUGGGUCAAAGCCGCCGGAGACCUCCUGACCCUAUUGCUCGGUGGCAACGCAGCCGGCGACUUCAAGCUGAAGGCCCUGCUGGGGUACCCCUCGGAGAACCCGUGUUUCCUCAAGGGCUCCUUCAAGCCCAACCUGCCCUUGGUGUGGUGCUCGCACAAGAAAGCCUGGGUACAGCCUGGGUGACAGAGCGAGACUCCGUCUCAAAAAAAAAAAAAAAAGCCUGGGUAACCAUGAGCCUCUUCCAGGAGUGGUUCCUGCACUUCUGCUCUACAGUGGAGGGCGCUGCACCCAGUACGACCUUCCCUACAAGGGGCUGCCCAUCCUGGACAGCACUCCCGGCCACCCUGGGUGUUGAGACAGAGUCUGGCUCUGUCGCGCAGGCUGGAGUGCGGUGGCGCGAUCUCGGCUCACUGCAACCUCCGCCUCCCGGGUUCACGCCAUUCUCCUGCCUCAGCCUCCCAGGUAGCUGGGACUACAGGCGCCCGCCACCACGCCCGGCUAAUUUUUUUGUAUUUUUAGUAGAGACGGGGUUUCACCGUGUUAGCCAGAAUGGUCUCGGUCUCCUGACCCCAUGAUCCACCCGCCUUGGCGUCCCAAAGUGCUGGGAUUACAGGCGUGAGCCAUGGUGCCUGGCCCUUUAAUUCCCCCAAUAUUUUUUUAUCUGCAUUAAUUUAUUAUUUCAAGUGAACUUCCAUCUCAAAUACAUGGUUCUCAGACGCUUCCAUGAACUCUCAAGUGUGACUUAUUACAGCCUGGGGCUCCUUGGAGCACAGUGUGCCAGUGACCUAGUGGAAGGCCAUGAGAAAGCCAGGUUCACUGUUCACUGUGCAGCAUCUCCCUCCAUGGUCUUCCUGGAGCCUAUUCCCACUGCACUGAGCAUUCCGUGUGUCCAGAGGUAGGGUUAGCAGGGAUAGAUGGACUUCCUGCUUAUUUUCUGUUCACAUUUCCACUGACCUUCAAUCCUGUAGACUGCAAAGAUUGAGCCAGCUGAGCCCCCAAAGAGACUCAGCAGUGCAGAAUGUGGGCCUGAGUGGGAGGACUGCCCAGCCGCACACCUUCCAGCUCUGUUCUUCCCGGGCCCUGGAUGCUUCUUGCCACGCUGUCCUCUGAAAUGACGCUCUGCCCCAGCAGACCUGUGGUAGGUGAGCUAGUGAGGAAGCACACCUGGGCUCUUCCCACCAGGCAUCCCAGCCCUGGUGUGGGGUAUCCGCAUGGUUGCAGGCAUCCCCUGGCCAGGCCUGGGUGCUCAUUCUCCCUCUCUCUUCUUGUCUCCUCCCCUCUCCCUGCUUUCUCUGCCCUGUCCUCCUCCUUUUUGCUGUUUUCCCCCGGACUCCUGCCAUGCCCCCAGACUUUCUUUUUCCCACGGAUAUGGGCUCAUUCCAAGGAAAGGGUGGCAUUUGGACACAAGGCCCUAGAUCCCACGAUGGAGGACUGGGGGGUACCUGAUGCCCCUCAGAAAGAGGCCUGCAGGGACAGCACAUGGGAAAGCCCCAUGGCUUUGUGAUCCAUCUGGGGAUGUGAUCCAUUUGGGUAAGGACUUGGGUUUCAGGGCAUGAGUUGGCUUCCUUGCAGGAUGCAGGUCCUUAGGUGGGUGGCCUCUGUCUCCAGCUGUAGGGCCCUGCCAGGAAGCCUCUAUAUGAGCCUACCUCCCUCCUGCAGGACCAGAGAGGGGUUGUUAUGAACAGCCCAGGGGAUUGGUUGCACUAAGCUUGUCUUGAAGCUUUGGCUGGGGAGUCCAGGUGCCCAUGUCUCUCACCUGCUCCCCAUACACAUCUCUGCACACCUGGCUGAGGCAUUCCCAGACCUAACCUCAGAUAAUGUGCAUGUGAUGAACACUCCCAAGUGGCUAGGCCUCUUGCACCUGAGCAGGUGGAUUCUGCCCCAGCACUGGGGCUUUCUCUGGGCUGUCCAUCAUGGGUAUAUCUCUGGAUUCCAGGAUUGCUAGUUAGCACCUCACAUUUGAGGGUCUGUGCUAUUCAGUCUAGAAUCAGAGUUGGAUGAGAAAUCAACUUUGAACACCACCUUUGGGGUGGCUGCAUUGGCUCACACCUGUAAUCUCAGCACUUUAGGAGGCUGAGGCAGGAGGAUAGCUUGAGGCCAGGAGUUCGAGACUAACCGGAGCAACAUAGUAAGGCCACAUCUGUACAAAAAAAAGAAAGAAAAAAUUACCCAGGUUUGGUGGCAUGCACUUGUAGUCCCAGUUGUGGGCUGAGGAUUAUGCAGGUGACAAGGCAAGAGACUGAAGGCACAAACUGUUUCAGUAUAAUAAAGAAAAUAGAAUAAUAAUAGUCAUAAUUAUAUAUAGAGAUGAUCAUGAACAAUUAUCAAUCAUUAUAAUAAACAUUAUUAAUCAUUAGCUUU